UACGGGGGGGGCAAGCGUUGUUCGGAAUUACUGGGCGUAAAGGGCUCGUAGGCGGCCAACUAAGUCAGACGUGAAAUCCCUCGGCUUAACCGGGGAACUGCCUCUGAUACUGGAUGGCUUGAGAUUGGGAGAGGGAUGCGGAAUUCCAGGUGUAGCGGUGAAAUGCGUAGAGUAUCUGGAGGAACACCGGUAGCGAAGGCGGCAUCCUGGACCAACACUGACGCGUGAGGCACGAAAGCGUGGGGAGCAAACAGGA
RNAcentral lists this ribosomal RNA (256 nucleotides) under uncultured bacterium. Its description in RNAcentral is "partial 16S ribosomal RNA". It matches the Rfam family "Bacterial small subunit ribosomal RNA", at positions 524 to 777 of the family's 1533-position model. The record is from RNAcentral.